GAUGAAGAACACAGCGAAAUGCGAUAAGUAAUGCGAAUUGCAGAAUUUCCGUGAGUCAUCGAAUCUUUGAACGCACAUUGCGCCCCCUGGUAUUCCGGGGGGCAUGCCUGUCCGAGCGUCAUUGCUGCCCUCAAGCACGGCUUGUGUGUUGGGCCCCGUCCUCCGAUCCCGGGGGACGGGCCCGAAAGGCAGCGGCGGCACCGCGUCCGGUCCUCGAGCGUAUGGGGCUUUGUCACCCGCUCUGUAGGCCCGGCCGGCGCUUGCCGAUCAACCCAAAUUUUUUAUCCAGGUUGACCUCGGAUCAGGUAGGGAUACCCGCUGAACUUAAGCAUAUCAAUAAGCGGAGGA
This 348-nucleotide unclassified non-coding RNA is filed under the name soil metagenome. RNAcentral describes it as "partial contains 5.8S ribosomal RNA, internal transcribed spacer 2, and large subunit ribosomal RNA". The stretch from base 1 to 121 matches the Rfam family "5.8S ribosomal RNA", at positions 35 to 154 of the family's 154-position model. The record is from RNAcentral.